Molecule: transfer RNA, 81 nt
Filed under: Paragonimus westermani
Lineage: Eukaryota; Metazoa; Platyhelminthes; Trematoda; Plagiorchiida; Troglotrematidae
Description: tRNA-Asn
Rfam family: tRNA
About the family: Transfer RNA (tRNA) molecules are approximately 80 nucleotides in length. Their secondary structure includes four short double-helical elements and three loops (D, anti-codon, and T loops). Further hydrogen bonds mediate the characteristic L-shaped molecular structure. tRNAs have two regions of fundamental functional importance: the anti-codon, which is responsible for specific mRNA codon recognition, and the 3' end, to which the tRNAs corresponding amino acid is attached (by aminoacyl-tRNA synthetases). tRNAs cope with the degeneracy of the genetic code in two manners: having more than one tRNA (with a specific anti-codon) for a particular amino acid; and 'wobble' base-pairing, i.e. permitting non-standard base-pairing at the 3rd anti-codon position.
Source: RNAcentral
GGAUUCGCAGCUCAGCUGGCAGAGCGCUUGCCGCGUUGAGGCAUGCUGUGUCCGUCGUUGGUUCGAAUCCAACCGAAGCCC